ACAUUUAUUUUGUAGAUUAAUCCACAGGUUCAUUUAAAUUUGCUGGCGUAACAGUUGACAAAUCACGCGAUUUAGUAGGCUACAAGCAUUUCGCUGCGCGAGGCGCUGGGGGGCAAGAGCAGCAGACUGGAUGGAGCCAGACAGUCCGUGUGCUAGAAGCAGUUGACAAUAUUCGGACGCUUAUCCAGAGAAGAAUUAGGCUACAAAUCUACAUCUGUGUUCAAGAGGUGGAUGCCCAGGCCAGUCCUGCAAGGGUGAUAGGCUUGGGAAGACUCCUGCUGUGAUGCAGCAGCAGCAACAGCAGCAGAAACACCCCCUCUGCUGAUCCAGACGGUUCGUUCUGCUGCCUCUGGACAACUGGCAUGCUUCUGUCUGCCCUCUUGGCCAAUAAGACAUUCAGAGAGAAGGGGUGGUUUGUUGUUGUUUUGAAAGUGGUGCUUACUUUGGUGUACUAUGUCAUCUAUUUAGUAUGAUACAGUAUGUUUUGUUCUGCAAAAAAAAGUAAUCAUAUGUUUGCAAUUUGUUCUAUAUGUUACAAAUCUGUUGCGCUUAAAAUCCCGGACUGCUUCUUUUUUUUUUGACAGGGGCUCUAAUGGUUGUCAAACCACAAGGAUAUGAGGGUGGGGUAACCGCUGAAGCAAACUGGCAGAGACCAGUCCAGAUCACGUCUAGCCUGCGCUACCAUCACUGUGGACCAUCAUCAUGGAGAGUCAGCGGCAUCUUUUUGACCCUUGGGGUCACGAUCGCCGGGCCCUGAUUGGCCCUGAGACAAAGCAGGGACAGUGUUGAAGACUCACUCCAGAGAAAAUAGAAAGAGAGCGAGAGAUUUGAAAACUAUAGCACAGUCAAUCUCUCCAAUACAGUGCUGUAUCACUGGAACACAUUUUACUUUUGUUUAAGUAAAUUGAGGGUUGAAUUUUAAUUUCCCCCCAAAAUGAAAGCACAUACUCCUCCUACCUGGGACUGAUAGUACCAUAAUGCAUGGAUGACAUCUGUCCAGCAUAAGUAUCACAACAUCGAGAGCUCUGAGCCCUCACAUUUUAAAUCAUCCUAGUUGGUGCCAGUUUACCCACCCAUAGAUAUCAGAAUACAUUCACACCAUAUACUCUUUUAUUCUGAGACUAUUUCACAUUGCACAGGUGGACUAUGGAGCAAGUCUGAUCACUAUAAACAGUCAAACAGAGAGCCACUCUAGUGUUGCGUGACUCGGGUUCUGUUUGGUUUGUGUCAUGGAGUCUGAGGAGAGCCUGGGACUGUCGACUGCAGCUGUGGUGGCCAUCACCUGCAAUGCCUUGGUGGCCAUCCUCCUCCUCGUCCUCUUCCUCAUUCUCUACAAGGCCUGUAAGGUGCCCUCCAGCCAGGAGAGGGUACCUGUGCUGGCGGUUCCUACUGGGCAGACGCAACAGAGCAGCGAACACAAGUACUUGCUGACUUCAUGACUGGUAGCCAGAGAGAGAGAGUGAGCACCACAGUGUAUACAUAGGUCUCAGGGAGGUACUGUAUACUAGAGGAGUAGACCGAUCCCAGGUGUGUUUAUUAGGGCUGGGACGAUACCAGUAUCGCGAUACUAGUUAGUAUUGUGGCAAGGAAACAAAGCACAAAGCGGAUGUCACUUCUGUUGGAAAACCGCCCUA
Oncorhynchus mykiss (rainbow trout) is the source of this 1634-nucleotide non-coding RNA. The record is from RefSeq and is a predicted model, not a curated record. Lineage: Eukaryota; Metazoa; Chordata; Actinopteri; Salmoniformes; Salmonidae.